Cicer arietinum (chickpea) is the source of this 475-nucleotide long non-coding RNA. RefSeq lists it as uncharacterized. Lineage: Eukaryota; Viridiplantae; Streptophyta; Magnoliopsida; Fabales; Fabaceae. The record is from RefSeq and is a predicted model, not a curated record.
CCUUCGUUUUUCACAAUAUAAAGUGAUCAAACAAUUUUGUAUUUGUUGCAUGCAAAGGUAGAGUAAAAAUGGCUAACACUCUUAAAGUUUUUUAUACUAUGAUCCUUUUCGUGUUCCUAUUUCUUGUUGUAGUUGAUGUUGGUGCUAAAAAAUGUAUCACAGACAAGGAUUGUAUUGAUGCUUUCUACUGUCCCAGUCAUCCUAAUAAGGUCUGCGAAGAUGGAAAAUGUAGGUGCUUAUAUUAACAGUUAAGAUUAUAUUCAACAUGAUCAUGACAAGUAAUCAAUGGAGUUUUUCUUGUGGAACUGAAGUACUAGAGACAUAAGAGUUUUUUUUUUACGAUAGUUGAUUUUGUGGUAUGUGUAGAUAUAUUUGGACUUCAAUAAUAUCUUUUGAAUGAGUUACUCUAUUUAAUAAUUGUUUGUAUUGUUUAAGAUUUAGUGUUUUCACUUGUUUGAUUUUUUAGUUUUUAAAA